UCGGGAAGGCAGCUGCGGCGGACUGUGCAGGUUCGUGCCCAACAUUCCAGUCCGUCCAACUCCUUUCCGUUU
Non-coding RNA from Acyrthosiphon pisum (pea aphid), 72 nucleotides. The record is from RefSeq and is marked provisional. Lineage: Eukaryota; Metazoa; Arthropoda; Insecta; Hemiptera; Aphididae.